UACGUAGGGUGCAAGCGUUGUCCGGAAUUAUUGGGCGUAAAGAGCUCGUAGGCGGUCUGUCGCGUCGGCUGUGAAAACCUGGGGCUUAACUCCGGGCCUGCAGCCGAUACGGGCAGACUAGAGUGCGGUAGGGGAGAUUGGAAUUCCUGGUGUAGCGGUGGAAUGCGCAGAUAUCAGGAGGAACACCGAUGGCGAAGGCAGAUCUCUGGGCCGUAACUGACGCUGAGGAGCGAAAGCGUGGGGAGCGAACAGG
This 253-nucleotide ribosomal RNA is filed under the name uncultured bacterium. Its description in RNAcentral is "partial 16S ribosomal RNA". It matches the Rfam family "Bacterial small subunit ribosomal RNA", at positions 524 to 776 of the family's 1533-position model. The record is from RNAcentral.